UUUUAAUCUCAAACCAUCGACCCUGUCCUAAUCUAUUUGGGUUUUGAACCCAUUUUUCUUUUCACCUGUCCUAAUUCUAUGUCUCGAACCUUUGACUCGAGUCUUCGCUUCACUUGUAUUAAGUACAGUUUUGGCUUCGAGGCCCAAAAUAAAUAACCCAAGAAAUAAAUAACUAAAAAGAAAAUAAAUAAUAAAUGAUACAACCAUAGAUAAAUAAAUAAAAGAAUGAGACUUUCGGAUCUCAUUGCCACNNNNNNNNNNNNNNNNNNNNNNNNNNNNNNNNNNNNNNNNNNNNNNNNNNNNNNNNNNNNNNNNNNNNNNNNNNNNNNNNNNNNNNNNNNNNNNNNNNNNNNNNNNNNNNNNNNNNNNNNNNNNNNNNNNNNNNNNNNNNNNNNNNNNNNNNNNNNNNNNNNNNNNNNNNNNNNNNNNNNNNNNNNNNNNNNNNNNNNNNNNNNNNNNNNNNNNNNNNNNNNNNNNNNNNNNNNNNNNNNNNNNNNNNNNNNNNNNNNNNNNNNNNNNNNNNNNNNNNNNNNNNNNNNNNNNNNNNNNNNNNNNNNNNNNNNNNNNNNNNNNNNNNNNNNNNNNNNNNNNNNNNNNNNNNNNNNNNNNNNNNNNNNNNNNNNNNNNNNNNNNNNNNNNNNNNNNNNNNNNNNNNNNNNNNNNNNNNNNNNNNNNNNNNNNNNNNNNNNNNNNNNNNNNNNNNNNNNNNNNNNNNNNNNNNNNNNNNNNNNNNNNNNNNNNNNNNNNNNNNNNNNNNNNNNNNNNNNNNNNNNNNNNNNNNNNNNNNNNNNNNNNNNGUUAAACCAUCCAAACAUAAUUCGUUAAUCAACUCAUUCUUCACUAGGGAUUGAGCAUGGAUCUUAGUAUUUGACUUGAAAUACAACAUUUAAUACCGAAAUAGUAUGAAAGCACCUCAAAAAUUUAUUAAAAUUUAUAAUCAAAGUAGUCCUCCUACGAAACUAUGAAUUAGAAGAUAAAAAAAAGUCAACUUCGACAAACCAACUUCAGCUAGCCUAUUAAUAACUAGCUACCGUCAUUGAUUUAAUCUUCCUUUAAACAAUUUUGUCAACACCCAAAACUUAUUUACUGAAAGCUACGAACUCUAAUAAGUCUUAGAAAAUCCGCUAUUAGAAGGGUAAAGAAAAACAACAUGUAUCAAAAGAUAAAAUAAAAAUACAAACGGCAGAUCAAGAUAACGAGAGAGAGUAACACAUGAGAAGACUGUUUAGAACUUAUUUUGAUGAGUAUCACUUUUCCAAGCCGAGCAAAAUAUAUUCACCAUGAAUGUCAAACUAAAAAGUAACACCAAUCAAAAAGAGAGGAGACUAGAAAAGUUAGAGACAGAAUUUUUACAAAUAUCAAAAAUUUAGACAACGCAUUACUAGACAGAUAUCAACUAAGCACAGAAGAAAUUUUAUAAUCCACGGUCAACAGAGAACACAACGUGGUUAACAUCCUUUGUUCAAAGAGGAUAGACCCAACAUGAGCGAACCAGAACUGCUCAACUACUAGUUGUAGAUUCAGUUAAUAGAACAACUGCUAAAAGAAACAAAACAACAGCUGCAUCACCCUCAGAUUUCUUAAACAAAUUAAUCAAAUUUAUACAAUGGCAGCAUCACACUUGACCAAUUAAUCAAAUCUCUUCAAGAGUAGCACCACACUUAACAAAAUCAAAUUUCCAUAGCAUGAAAACACAGAGAAAGGAUGGAAAGAAAACAAUAAAGAAAGUAAGGUCUUCUACGACGCACAAAACAACAAUUAAAAUUACUACCUACUGCUAUUACCAUCAUGCGUUCAUUGUUUCUACAUUUCAAAACUACUUCUAUGGAAUUCAUAGCCCUCUACGCCAAGCAAGUCCCAGGCUCAUUCAUGAUUAAUACUACACAGAUAAAUGAUUCUACGGAGAAAAAGGGAUGAAGUCGAAAACAAUGAAAUUAAAAGGAUGAGCAUAUGUUUACCUCCUUCGGGGCAGCAAAAUGGGACUCGAGCUUCGUUCGGAAUUCCUGACCACCAGAAAAUUAAGGUUUCAAGAAUCUUGAUUAAUUGACAGCUAAAAUUUUUACUCAAAAAUGAAAAUUUUCACUGAUUUUUACUUGAAGAUGGUUUUUUCUCCUUUUUUUUUCUAACCCCUUCUUUUCUUUCAUCAGUAGGAUGCUUAUACAGAAGACGAAUGAGGGGUACUUUGGGUUUUUUUCAAAUAGGAAUUUGAAAUUCAAAAAUGAGGACAAUGUUUUUCUAACCGUUUGUACCAAUUUCAUCAUUUUUUUUCAAAAUUGGUUUCAACCAAUAGGGGUGAGAAAAAGAGAAAUCCCCUCAAGACCAAUGAAAUUGAUGAACCUUUGUACAAACUUGUACCCUGUUACCCGAGAUUCACAGAAUAUGGACGUUAGAGGGGACACCUAACCUCAUUUCUAGAAGAUUCGAGGGUUUUCCUCUCAAAUUCGAGUGGGAUACAAUUGAAGAGCAAACGAAAGGGUUGGGUAUGGUGGAAUCGGGUUAUCAGGUUGACACUGUUGAACAGGUUGAAGUUAGGUUGGGUACUGGAUUGUUUUUGUUGAUCGAUAUUGCAUAAUCUCCUUGAGGGAGUUAUUGUUGUUGUUUAUGUUAAGGAUUAAAGGAGGAAGGGAAGUGAGCAUUCGGCUGGGUCGGCCGUUAUUUGGGCCUGGGGGGCUGUAGUUGUUUUGUUUUGGACUGGUUGGUGACAGGUUGGGUCAGCUGAUGCUGUUGGGCUGCACAUCUGGCCCAGAUUUGGGUUUUUAGGGCUGGGGUGAUUUAGAAAAUAGCUUCAAUUAGCAUUUAACCCAUUCUAAUUAAAUUUUGAUCAAAUUAGAUGUUAAUUGGCCAAACGCAUUGCGAUUGUGGCCAAUUUACUUUCAAUUUAUGAUAAAUUUAAUAGAUUGAUUAAAUUGAAUUGAAAUUAAAUAUGCAUUACUACUUCUUUUAACCCCGAGCUUCUUGAUUUAAUAAAAUCGAAUGCAUAUUUAUCCAAAUAAAUUAUUUUUGAGAAUAAAUUAUAUUUCAAUCAAGAUUUUAAUCAUUUGAAUUUAUUUUCAAGAUGAGCCUUAAUUAAAUCCGAUAUUUUAUAAAAUAAAUAUUUAAGUGAAAAAUUAUAUAAUCUCGUAUAACUGAACACGAUAGUAUAUGAUCGCUACUUAAAAUGAAAAGAUCACGUACGAAAAAUAUUUUAAUUUUUUUAUUUGGAUGAAAUAAUUAUUUUGGUUUUAUUAAAAACUGAAGAAACUUACGAUUAAAUUUAGUCGUGAAGGGAAAAAAUUAGGUGUCAACAACUGCCCCCUCCCUUUGGGUAGGGUGGAUGUAAGUAACCCUGGGCAAAGGGAGGUUGACGUUCCUAAUUUUUGUCAGACCAUAGAUUUAAAUCUGAAAGAGGCUGGUUUUUGCACGAGUUUCAUAAAGUCAUGGCCAAACCUCGAUAUUAGGUUUCCUACAAAUCUCAGGUUACAUGAGAAUUCAGGCCACUUGUAGUUCAUAGUGCUUGAUUUAAAGCACAAUUUUCAGAAAAUUCAUAAGCUAUCUUGGUUUUAGAGUUUUUGAUAAAAUUGAGAAAUUGGAGAAUAAAAGGAUUAGGGGGGAGGUUGGAAUGUAGUCAAGUUUUCUUCAUAGAUCCCAGCCUACAUAUCCCCAAGAUUUAGAGAAUCAGACUGCUUGUAGUUCGACUCAAUCGGUAGAAAAGAUAGUCUUUUAUUUCAGACGAUCUUUGCCUCAAGAUGAGUGACAAGUUGAUCUAGUUUUGAAAAAGAGGCUUGUAACCUCUUAACCAUGAAUGUGAGAUCCUUCACACCCAUAGACAAGAACUUACCCGAACAUAAUUUCCAAACUCUGAGUAUGUUGUCACCCGACUUUGAAAGAAAGAGAAGGUUACCCUCAAUAUGUGUUUAAAAAUAUCUCGAAAGUGAAGCAGAAACCAGAAUAUCCUAAAAUACCCAUAGGCCUUCUAACAGGGGUGUGGUUUGAUGGUGGUGGUGAUCAUCCUUUAUCUCGCUUCCAAAGAGUUUGACGUCCCUUUCUAGACUAUGUCCCAUUUUGCUGCUAAGAAAGAGUUUCAUGUUGUGCUGCAUCCUUUCUGGAAACGUCCGCACCUGUGGGCUUGAUUUGAGAUUUUCAUCCUCUCGGAUACUCUCGACAAUAUCUCAAACAAAAUUGUUAGUGCUAACAUAGUUCACGAAAUAGGUAGGUAGUCCUUUACCAUAUCUCCACAUGAGUUGUGGCCUGAAAAGUGAAAUCAUCUCUUCAUGUACCUAUUUGGAAUGAAAUAACUAGAAACAACAGACAUAACAACCCUCUUGGUUGUUGUAUAAUUAUGACAUUUGUCGGUUGAAUAUGCCUUCAAAGUGGGGUAGCCCUUUUGGACACCGGCGAUACUUUAUAUACGCCGGUCCCUACAAUUGUUUAAUCUUAUGCUGGUAUGGAAAACCUUUUGGUUACCUAUAUCACUUGUUGUAUGUGGAAUGAUAACCUCUCCGGUUAUAGCCGAUGAUCGAUUUAUAAAUUUUCUUUAAAUUGUCAAUCUUUGGAUAAUCUUGCACAUUAUUUGAUGUUGGAUACGAGGCGACUUACAGAUAUCCUUUGAAUUUCUAGCUUUUAGGUAAUCCUUCAAAUUAUUCGACUUUGGAUAAGAGAUGGCUUACAGAUAUCCCUCCAAUCUCUAGCUUUCAGGUGUUACUGCACAUCAUCUGACCUUGGAUAUAAUAUGACUUAUAGAUAAUCCCUUAAAUUGUUAAUCUUUGGGUAAUCCUACACAUAAUCGAUCUUGUAGAUAACACGGCUUAUAUAGAACCCUUAGACGUAUCAAUUUGAUAAUAUUGCAUAUUCUCCGGUAAGGAUUUAGUUGUGACUUAUGGAUAACCUUUGAACUGUCAAUUUUUGGGCGAUCUUGCACACUAUCUGAUUAGAAUGUUGUUAUGGCUUACGGAUGACCUACAGGCUAUCAAAUCAUAGGUGAUCUUGCACACUAUCCUAUUUUAAAUAAUAUGACUUAUAGAUGACCCUCAAAUUGUCAAUUUUUAGGAAAUCUUAUAUAUUAUUCAUCCUUAGAUAGCGACUUAAAGGCGUCCCUUCUAAUCGUGUGCUCUCGAUGCAUUCAGAUGUUGAUUCAUAAAAUGAUGAGAUAUCCUUGACGCCAUCAUUUAUGUCUUGCGUGUCAACGAAUAUAAAAUGAUAAUGAUAUCCUCGACACCAGUGUUUCAGUCUAGCGCAUCAACAGAUAUUGAAUGAUGAUAUAUCCUCAACGCCAGCAUUUCUGUCUAGCAUGUCAACAGAUAUUAAAUGAUUAUGAUAUCCUAGAUGCUAGUAUUUCUCUCUAGCGCAUCAAUAGAUAUUGAAUAAUGAUGAUAUCCUUGAUGCCAGCGUUUCUUUCUAGCGCGUCAACAGAUAUUGAAUGAUGAUGAUAUCCUUUAUGCCAGCGUUUCUAUCUUGCGUGUCAACAGAUAUUAAAUGAUGAUGAUAUCCUCGACGCCAGCAUUUCUAUCUAGCGUGUCAAUAGAUAUUAAAUGAUGAUGAUAUCCUCGAUGCCAGCAUUUCAAUCUAGCGUGUAAACAGAUAUUAAAUGAUGAUGAUACACUCGACGCCAGUAUUUCUGUCUAGCAUGUCAACAGAUAAAAAAUAAUGAUGAUAUCCUCGACGCCAGUGUUUUUGUGUACCAUGUCAAUAGAUAUUGCAAGAUGAUGAUAUGAGAUGGCCCUCUCGGCAAUGACAUACAAUGGCCCUCUUAGCAAUGACAUGCAAUGGCCCUCUCGGCAAUUAUAUGCAAUAGACCUCUUGGCAAUGACAUGCAAUGGUCCUCUUGGCAAUGAUAUACAAUGGCCCUUUUGGCAAUACAAUUAAAUGGCCCUCUUGGCAAUGAUAUGCCAUGGUCCUCUUGGCAAUGAUACGCAAUGUCCCUCUUGACAAUGACAUGCAAUGGCCCUCUUGGAAAUGCAAUGAAAUGGCCCUCUUGGCAAUGAUAUGCAAUGGUUCUUCCAGUAAAUUAAAAACAAUUUCACGUAAAAUCAUUUGUUAGGGUCUUGCUUUUUGCAUGUACCUGUACUCAAGGUAGACGAUUAGUAGACACAAAGUUGCUUUUGCUAGCGCAUAUUUUUUAGAAAAUUUAUAAAUACAAUAUUUGUAAAGAUGACAAGACACUGUUGUUUGUCUUCCAUGAUCUCAAGAAAUGAGAUGGAAAAUUCAAAAGGUCCUCAAUAGAUAGGUAUUAAACCCAUUUUUAGGGAAACCAAAAAAUACCUUUCUUGAGCAUUAGUGCCCUGGUGGCUCCAGACUUUCUUGGGAAUUUUUGAAAGAAACACUCAUUUUUGUGUAUCGAUCCAUGCAUCCACAAAAAUUAUUAGUUUGAAUGAAACUACUCCGUGUUGACCUCCUUCGAUCCUUUAUCUGGCCCUCGCCAUCUUUCAGGUAGUUUGUCAUGUUGGGACUUCCGCCCAUGGCUCUCCGUCCCAAUUGAUUUCUAGGCAAGUACUAAAUAAAAUAUUUGUAUAGAUUCUUGAAAGUAGUCUUAAUUUUUAGAAGAUAGUUUCAAAAACUUAUAUAAAACAUUAGAAGAUCUCUGCCAUCCAUAUCAUAUAAUAACUCAACGAACAUCUUCCUCUUGAUUUUCACUAAAUCUGACGGAGGAUUUCCAAAAGUCAUCAUCAUUGUUGGAGGUUUCUUCAAAUAGUUCUAACAUAGCCAAAAGUUGAGUCUACCUAGACUUUGUCACAAUUGGUGGAUUCAAAGCUUGGCUUCAACCUCUGGUGCCGGGGAAUUUGAAAUAUAUUCCAGUAUUUGGUGGAAAUUUUGAGGCCUCCCUCAAAAUAUCUGCCCCAGUUUAGAGUAGUUUGAGAUGAUAUCAUGUCGAGUGAAUCUGAAGCCUUUGCUGAUCUUCAUUCUCUUUGUUGGAUAUUGAUCUUCUCUUGUGAAUUUUUGAGAUUCCUUCUCAAAAAAUCAGCCCCAAUUCCCAUUUCCUGGGGUUAUAUGACCGAGCCGUUGGGCCGUCUACAUAUCCCAUUGAAUCAGGAAUCAGGUCAAACGUAGUUCAAGACUACGUUAGGGAUAUAUAUAGAAAAAUCUAAUGGGUUGAGCGAAGCCGACAUAGGCCGCCUAUGUAUCCAUUUCUUGGGAAUUCAGGUCAAACAUAAUUCGUACAUAAAGGGAAAGGAUAAAUUUUUCUAAGGGGUUUACCGAAGCCGACAUAGGCCACCUACGUAUCCCUUUCUCGGGAAUUCAGGUCAAACGUAUUUUGUACAUAAAAAAGGGAUAAAUUAUCCUAAGGGGUUAACUGAAGCCGACAUAGGCCGCCUACGUAUCCCUUUCUUGGGAAUUCAGGUCAAACGUAGUUCGUUCAUAAAGGGAAGGAUUCUAUGUGAUUACUCAUCUUAAAAUUGAUACUAUUAUAAAGGCGAUUAUAAAUAAGCCAAGAAACAAAAACUAUAACAUCUUUCAGGCAUGAUAUAUCUUUACUGCAUCAGAAUUGAUUGGUUUGGUCCACUCUUGACCAUCCAUCUCAGGUAGGAUGGCAGGUUUUUAAAUUAUUGCUACCAAACUAAAUCAUGCUAGAUAAUCAUAUUUAAAAAAUAACUUCUUAAAAAAGGGAGGCCUUUUGGAAAAUAAAUAAAAACUAUGGCUUAUGACCAACACAAAACACGAAGCAAAAAUUUGUGACAUAAAAGGGUGAAUCACGGGGCCUCCUCCGGAUCAUCACCAUUUUUAAAAACUAUUAGUAAUUUCCCUUUCAUCUACCGUGAUGGGUGAUGAGUUAUGAAUGGAGUGGAGGUUCAAUUUUGCAAGGCCUCCCCUGGUGCAAUCUUCUUCACCUCACCAGACUUUGGGAAAUCAUCUGGUAGAGCAUUUUAUCCUUCGAACAGAUCACCUAUCCCAUCCCUAAGACCAUCAUCGUUUGACAUCUCAUGUAUUGGAAAUGACUGGUACAAGAGUGGCAAGGGCCUAAACAAACUCUCGUUUGAAUUAUCUUCGAUCUUAUCUUCCUUCCUUGGUUGGUACUCUAUUCCAUGCUUAAAAGUUUUUUCUGGUACUAUAAUACGCUUAAUAAUUCCUUCCAAAUCCUUACUUAAAGAGGCCACAACAUUCUCUAUCUUCUCCAUCUCUUCUGUUCUUUUGAGUCCUUCUGAAUUUACCUUAGUGAUGGCCUUGCUAGAUGCCCAUUCACCCUCUAUUUUAAGCAUGUUAACUGUAGGUCCCCCAUGGUUAGGCAAUGGAUUACUGUUAACAUUUGGUGUCGGUGACUGAAGUGUGAUGACCUUAUGAUCGAUCAAAUCUUGGAUCUUAUGUUUCAAGUUAAUACAAUCCUCGGUACUGUGCCCCGCUGCUCCUGAAUGAUAGGCACAAUUUUGAUCGGGAUGAUAAAAUCGGGAGUUGGGAUCGAUAGGAUUUGGCUGGAUCAGUUGCAAAUAAUCAGCUUUCAUCAAUCUUCCGAAGAGUUGGGUAUGACUUUCAGCUAGCAGCGUGAAGUUUCGGGGAGGUUUCUUUUCAACUUUCAGCUAGCGGCGUGAAGUUUCGGGGAGGUUUCUUUUUGAAGUUUGGACAUGGAGGGUUAUACUGGUUCUAAUUUACAGGAGGAGGUACUUGAUGAUGAUUUGGAGACAUUUGAAUGUUUAUUUGGUUAUUUGGAAAAGUAGCUUGAGUAUGAGGCUAAUAAUUUGGUUGUGGAACUUGGCACUGGGGUAAGAUAUUUAGAAUUGGGGCUCAGGCUGAAAACUUGAUGAUGAUGAUGAGGAAAGAAUAUUCCUAGGCUUGAAUUUCCUCUUUAACUUAACAACAGAAUUAGUAGAGACUGCAGUUGCAUCAUCUCUUUUCUUCUUUGGGAAUGCAGAAGAUUCAGAUAAUGUUGGGGUUUUGGCAAUUUUUCCUAUUCGAAUUCCUUCCUCUAAUGAUUCCCCAAUCUUUACUAAAUUUACAAAAGUUUCUCGGAACGCGGAUACCAUCCUAGUAUAAAAUUCUCAUUCCUAUGCAUGAGAGAAAAUCGAUACCAUUUCUUCCUCAGACAUGGGAGGUUGUACUUUAGCAGCCUCUUUUCUCCAACGAAAGGCGUAGUCUCGAAAACACUCAUUAUUCUUUUGUUUGAUUCGAUCUAGUGAGUAUCGGUCAGGGACUAUCUCAAUGUUAAAUGUGAACCUGUCAAGCAAACCCUUGGCCAAUGCUUUCCAACCAGUCCAUCUUUUUAGUUCCUGAGACAUGAACUACUCUAAGGCUUCGCCACUUAAACUUUGGCUGAACAGACGCAUCAAUAGCUCCUCAUUUUUCCCAACCCCCACUAUUUGUCACAAUACCUUCUCAGAUGGGCCAUUGGAUUUCCGAUUCCAUCAAACACUUUAAAUUUAGGGACCUUAUACCCUUCUGGUAGAUCUAUUCUAGGGUGAACACAUAAAUCAUCAUACCCUAAACCGUCGUGGUCCCUCACUCUAUGAGAUUCUUUGAUCCUCAUGAUAUCUUUAUUCAUAGAUAUCAACUUUAUUUCAUGCUUGAUCCUCCACUCUUUCUCCUUCUCCUCAUAAUGGUCCAUAUCGGGAUUAGAAAAGGGAUUAUAGAUAUCAGGGGAUAUAAUGGCAUCGAUAGAAUUUUGAAGGGAGGUUUGAUUUCAAGUAUAUAAAGAAGUUGGUUUGUUGGUGGGGAGGAUGUUUUGGAAAUUGGAAAGGUUAUGAUUAAUUUGCAAGUAGUUUGGUGGAAUCUGAGAAGAAUUUUGUGAAUUUGGAAAUAAAUUUUGUGGAUUCUGGGAUAGAUUUGAUGGAUUUUGCGGGUUUGGGAGUGAAUCUUGUGGAUUUGGGAAUGAAUCUUCUUGAUUUGAAAAUGUGUUUUUGGGAUUUGGGAAUGGAUUCGGACAUGGGUUUUGUGGGACUAGAGAUGAAUUUUGUGGAUGGUAGGCAUCUGGAUUAUUUUCGCGAUUAGUGUCUUGGACAAAUGGAGGAAUGGAUAUGGACGAUAUGUUAUUUGGGUGAUUCCUGAGAAUAGGUGUACUGAGGGGGAGAAUUUGGAGUGGUGUCCCAUGUCCUCCUGGAGCGGGGGCAUUGAGGGUGAUGGCCAGGUUAGCCAAAUCUCGAGUGCGAUUUAUUUCCUCCUGAAGCAUUUCUAACUUUCUUGCGAGCUCCGCAAUCACCUCACUUUGUUCUGCUAUUACAUUGUCCCUAAUGGUCAACGUAUUUUUUCAUCAUUUCCAGUCAUUAUUGAAUGAUGGUCAAAGGAUGGGAUUUUAUACGCUUUUGACUGGCUGAAGUAGGGAUAUUCUGCCAUCUUAUAUCAGCACGGAGUAUUUUCUAUUAUCUGUAAAGUAAAACAACUCAAAGGCAGAUGUGUUAGUUUUCGUAUAUGAUAAGUAAUGGGAAAUAUUUGACAAGAAAUAACCACGUAGAGUUGUUUGAGUCAUAUCCAAAUUCAUCCAUAGGAGCAUAGAGAAUAAACUUGUCUUUGAUCCAAAUAAACACACAUAAACACAUAAGACAAUUAUAUUACACAAAACAUUAUAAUAAUGUGUAUCCUAACUUGGGUGACCCUUUUUAAUCCAAGGGUUCCGGCCUAAUGAUUUUGAAGAAAAUAUAUUCUUCCUUAAAGUCAAUCCAUUAUCACCCAACUUAUAUAGACACUAAAAGGGCAUAAAUGCCUACAAACAAUAACAAAAGAGGGAUACAAUCUUUAGGGGAAAAGGAAAAUAACAUAACAGAAGAUAAGCUCCCACGCAGGGGAUAGAAAAUAUUAAUUCUUGAGUGUUUCUUCUAUCAGCCUUCGCCUUCUUCUUCUGUAAACUGUGCCUUAGAUGCAACCUCCCAAAUUGAUCAAUUUCAAUUCUUUCGUCAAUCGGUGUACGAUUGAGGCAUCUUUAGUCAAAAGUGAAUAAAAUAAGUCUUCUCCCGACCCCCAAAGGAUAAUCGAUUGAAUUAGACAGGCAUACAUUUUCUUCAACAUAUAAAUAUGGUUCGUCUAUAAUUGACUCGAGGUCAAUAGACGCAGGACAGGUUUUCUAAUGAGUCUAAUACCCACUCGGGUAUUGGGUCAUCCUAGGCUCAUUCCUAAAAUAAGAUUUUGGUUUCGUUCUAUCCUCGGUGUCUAGAGUGGGUUUGAAGACUGGUUCUCAAGAGGACAACUUGAGUUUUAAAAUAUGAACAGCAUCAGACGACAUUCGUAUUUUCCAACACAUUAUUGGAAUUGAACAAUAGGGGCCGGGACAUCCACAAAACCCAAUACAUUUUAAAUAAUCCAGGAAUAUGCCAUGAGAUGAGAUAGUUUAAACUUUACAAAAUCAAAACAUAUAAACACAUAAACAGUUAAUCAAAAGACGAAAUCAAACAUUUUGUUAGAACCUAGUUAAAAGUCCCCAGCAGAGUCGCCCUUUUUGUUUUGUGGAAAUUUUUGACUUUUUAAAGAGUCGCCACUUAAUUUUGAAAAGGAAUUAAGAAACCUUUAUAAAGUACUUCAAACGAAUUCAAAAUAGAAAAAUUGUUUAGAGUUAGAGAUUCUAGAUAAGCGAUUCCUAUUAACAUUUUAGGAAGGUGUUAGGCACCUAAAACGUCUGCUAACUUGCGGUUAUCCAGACUGUUUGAAAAUCGUUUUUGACUAACUUUUGGAAAAUAGAUUUGUUGGAAAAGUAAUUUAUUAAGUAGAAGCUUUUCACGAAAUCAGUUUUUUAGCGACUUAGUUAGGGAUUUAACUAGGUUCGCAAAGAAGUACGUAAACAAGUAAACGAAAGGAAAAUGGGAAAAAGCGGGGAAGUAGUGAUUUAGGUUUUUAAGCCCAAACCAUCGACCCUGUCCUAAUCUAGUUGGGUUUUCAACCCAUUUUUAUUUUCACCUGUCCUAAUUCUAUGUCUCGAACCUUUGUCUAGAGUCUUUGCUUCACCUGUGUUAAGUGCAUUUUUGGCUUCGAGGCCCAAAAUAAAUAACCCAAGAAAUAAAUAACUAAAACGACAAUAAAUAAUAAACGAUACAACCAUAGAUAAAUAAAUAAAAGAAUGAGACUUUCGGAUCUCAUUGCCACUUCGAGGACAAGGCUUCAACUCAAUCCUUCUUUCAACUCUUUGUACCCAUACAUCAUGUAAGC
This 12033-nucleotide long non-coding RNA is filed under the name Capsicum annuum. Its description in RNAcentral is "long non-coding RNA (CANN_LNC002382)". The record is from RNAcentral. Lineage: Eukaryota; Viridiplantae; Streptophyta; Magnoliopsida; Solanales; Solanaceae.